Molecule: long non-coding RNA, 975 nt
Organism: Contarinia nasturtii (swede midge)
Lineage: Eukaryota; Metazoa; Arthropoda; Insecta; Diptera; Cecidomyiidae
Exons: 3
Source: RefSeq, a predicted model, not a curated record
AGUACUUUCUUUGAUUAGAAGCAAUUUUAUCUUUAAUCAUUUCAAUAUUUGCCAAUGAUGCGAAUACGUGAAAUGCAUAAUCGGUAUGAAUUACCGAGUUUAUAUAGAAUGCAUAUUGCAUGUUCAUAGUUUUGCCAUAUUCUUCAUAAAUUUCUGGCUCUUUAAGAAUGGAUUGCAUUUCUUCAUCUGUUUUUGGUCUUUUUGGGUACUUUUUGUCUCUUAAUCGAAAUAGCUGACGUUCCACACUUUCAAAUUUAAGUUGAGUUUCACCUGGUAGGCGUCUAAAACGUAAAACAUAAUGCAAAUUUUUAUGAUAUAUAAUGCAUGCAUAUGAAAAUGUGUACUUCGUAUUCUAAAAACUAACUUUGCAAUCUCCAUUAGGAAAAUUUCUUUGACUGGAACUUUAUGUGCAGAUAUUGGAAAGUGUUUGGCCAGAAAUCUGCAAUGAUCCUUCAUGGCAUUCAAUGAAUUCAUGUCUCGGAAAAUAAUUUCGUGAUUCUGAUGACAUUUGUGAUUGACUGAAGUUCGCGUAAGGUGUUGUGUGUCCACACGUAAAUGGCAUCGUGCAGGGCAGAUUGUAAAAUUACCAUCCUGUAAAUGUUUUGCAGAGAUAAUUGUGUCAUAACAAACCAGAUAAGACGUCCCAUUCUUUAGCUCCUUGCAUUUUGAUUUGAACGAGUGUCAAACGCGUGUAUUCAACGCACUGAGAUGUGACAUACUACAAACAACAACAAAAUAUUUGCACCGACCAUGUCAAUUGUUAAUACAUUGGUGUGUUUUACCAACACGUGUGUAUUGGUGUGUAACACAAAAUAAAAAUAACGAUUAUGUUUAUUAAAAUUGGAAAAAUGUAACAAUUUUUCCCAUAGCAAAAAUGUUCUUUUUUAUCAACUGUAAGCUGUACGAACACAGGCCAGAAAACAUAUAUUAGUUCGCAGCGUACGUUUUUAACUUCCGUACACUUCAUAUUUUUAA